UGGGGAAUAUUGCACAAUGGGCGAAAGCCUGAUGCAGCAACGCCGCGUGAGCGAUGAAGGCCUUUGGGUCGUAAAGCUCUGUCCUAGGGGAAGAAUAAAUGACGGUACCCUUGGAGGAAGCCCCGGCUAACUACGUGCCAGCAGCCGCGGUAAUACGUAGGUGGCAAGCGUUGUCCGGAAUUAUUGGGCGUAAAGCGCGCGCAGGCGGGAUAUCAAGUCUAUCUUAAAAGUGCUGGGCUCAACCCAGUGAGGGGAUGGAAACUGGUAUUCUUGAGUGUCGGAGAGGAAAGUGGAAUUCCCAGUGUAGCGGUGAAAUGCGUAGAUAUUGGGAGGAACACCAGUGGCGAAGGCGACUUUCUGGACGAUGUCUGACGCUGAGGCGCGAAAGCCAGGGAAGUGAACG
Molecule: ribosomal RNA, 403 nt
Filed under: uncultured bacterium
Lineage: Bacteria
Description: bacterial SSU rRNA
Rfam family: Bacterial small subunit ribosomal RNA
Source: RNAcentral